UACGUAGGCAGCAAGCGUUGUUCGGAGUUACUGGGCGUAAAGGGCGCGUAGGCGGCGCGGAUAGUCGGCGGUGAAAGCCCGGAGCUCAACUCCGGGUCGGCCGUCGAUACUUCCGGGCUUGGAGCACUGUAGAGGCAGAUGGGAAUUCCGGGUGUAGCGGUGGAAUGCGUAGAGAUCCGGAAGAACACCGGGUGGCGAAGGGCGGGUU
Molecule: ribosomal RNA, 208 nt
Filed under: uncultured bacterium
Lineage: Bacteria
Description: partial 16S ribosomal RNA
Rfam family: Bacterial small subunit ribosomal RNA
Source: RNAcentral